This 543-nucleotide ribosomal RNA is filed under the name uncultured Acidobacteriota bacterium. Its description in RNAcentral is "SSU rRNA". It matches the Rfam family "Bacterial small subunit ribosomal RNA", at positions 242 to 802 of the family's 1533-position model. The record is from RNAcentral. Lineage: Bacteria; Pseudomonadati; Acidobacteriota.
CAGCUAGUUGGUGAGGUAAGAGCCCACCAAGGCAGAGAUCGGUAGCCGGCCUGAGAGGGCACACGGCCACACUGGCACUGAAACACGGGCCAGACUCCUACGGGAGGCAGCAGUGGGGAAUCUUGCACAAUGGGGGCAACCCUGAUGCAGCGACGCCGCGUGAGCGAUGAAGCCCUUCGGGGUGUAAAGCUCUUUCGGCAGGGAAGAUAGUGACGGUACCUGCAGAAGCAGCUGCGGCUAACUACGUGCCAGCAGCCGCGGUAAUACGUAGGCAGCAAGCGUUGUUCGGAGUUACUGGGCGUAAAGGGUGUGUAGGCGGUUCUUUAAGUUUGGUGUGAAAUCUCCCGGCUCAACCGGGAGGGUGCGCCGAAUACUGAGGGACUAGAGUGCGGGAGAGGAAAGUGGAAUUCCUGGUGUAGCGGUGAAAUGCGUAGAUAUCAGGAGGAACACCGGUGGUGUAGACGGCUUUCUGGACCGUAACUGACGCUGAGACACGAAAGCGUGGGUAGCAAACAGGAUUAGAUACCCUGGUAGUCCACGCCC